ACCCCUCCCAGAAAGGAGCCUGGGAACUGCAUGGCCUGGGACAGGGCCUCACCAGGGCGGUGCCCCAGCCACAGCCCCAGCCCCUCCGGGCAGAGGAGAACAACAAGGUCUACGGGUCUAUGUAUUGCUGGUGCCAAACAAUAAGAAAAACCAGCAAAACACUCACCUUGGUCCACAGACAACACCCGCGUCCACGUGGUGGGUGGGGCCGGCUCCGUCAGAGGAUGGGAAGAUGAGAAGUGCUUAUCACCGGGCCUGGAGAUGGGGACCACCCAGGCAUGCAGGGGACGCUGCCUCUCCUCCAUCCAACAACAAGCCUGCCUGUGCCCAGCCCCCUCUGGUACACGCAUUGCUCCACAUCCUCAGCAUUGAUUGAUUGAAAAUAAGACCUUGGAAGAACCCCUUGCAAAGCUGACAUCGUACGAGCCAAGGCAGCAGCCCCGGAGAGGGUCAGCGAGGGGCCUCCACUGUCUGAGUCUGCUCCUGGCAACGCCUGCUCUCUGCACUCAGAGGCCCUGUCCCGGCAGCUGCCACGUUGCUCAGAAGUUCUGGCAGGGGGAGCCUGAAACCCCUGUCUGCUGGCGACACUCCCGGAGCUGCAGGAAAUCUCUACAUUUUAUUUUUUUUCUUAACAGACAAAAGUAUUUGACUCCAGAAUGAUUUCCAGGAAUUACAGUAUGAGAACUUAGUCUUUGAGAUUUUUAUUUUCUUCUUAAAAAAAUAAAAAUGAAAUCAAAGCAGAAGACACUGGUUGAGCAGACAGCACACUGGCACAUUCCACUUCGCAACAAAACCUGCGUGUUUUCUGCCUGGUCUACCUCAGACAGGGAUGAUGGGCUUAACAGCCUUUCCUGUGGGGGGUUCAGGGCGGGAGGGAAGGGCUGGGGUAGGAGGGGCAGGCAGAACCUGGAAACUGCGCCCCGUUCUUUCUUCUCAGAACUCCAUUGCCAGAGGGCUUGGAGUGCUUCUCAGGGAUCUGGCAUCUGCUUCUCCUCUGCCCCUCGUUCAGAGUUCUCACUGCAAGAAAAGCAGGGAAAAGGCUCAAAAAGCCCUUCAGACUUGGAGCCAUUCCAUGGUGAUGAUUGAACCACCAACCAAAGGUGCUGGCAGGGCCAUGGCGAGAGGCACCUUUAGGAAAUCUCACACAACCCACACUGCUCCCCUCUCCUGCAUGGCAGUGACCCUCCCGUAAAAGGGUACAGCCUGUUGUCCCAGCUUUGCAACUGGGAUCAGCCUGUUGUCCCAGCUUUGUGACUCCAGGUGGGCUCCAUGCCCUCCGGGGCCUCUUCGUCCUUGUCAGGCCAGUGGGGGUCAGAGGCCGUAUUGGCUUCCUAUGAAUAUUAAAUGGGAUUCUCUGUGGGGGAAGCUUCCAUAAGGCAGAAAGGGGUCCCCGGUUGCUGGCUAUUAGUGUUAUUUUCUUUUAAAUCAUCUGUGCUCCUUCAAAGACGACAUAAGAAGCUCAUGCCCUGGCGUUGCAGAAAUCUCUGACUGUAGGGAUUAAACCUACGUGUCUUCCUGAUGGGGUGGUGAGGAUGUAAACGGUGAAUAGUGCCAGCCACGGGGAGCAUUGCAGAGAGUAACCAAGUGUGUGAUAGACAUGCUGUUGUAUGUGUGUAAACAGCCAGGAGACCAAUGCUUUUGCCUGAGUGACCUCUGCAAGGACACAGAAAUAAAAUACACAAAAAAGUUGGCACUGA
Long non-coding RNA from Pongo pygmaeus (Bornean orangutan), 1697 nucleotides. RefSeq lists it as uncharacterized. The record is from RefSeq and is a predicted model, not a curated record. The transcript has 2 exons. Lineage: Eukaryota; Metazoa; Chordata; Mammalia; Primates; Hominidae.